RNAcentral lists this transfer RNA (63 nucleotides) under Gulbenkiania mobilis. RNAcentral's name for it is "tRNA-Asp". It matches the Rfam family "tRNA", at positions 12 to 71 of the family's 71-position model. Rfam says of the family: Transfer RNA (tRNA) molecules are approximately 80 nucleotides in length. Their secondary structure includes four short double-helical elements and three loops (D, anti-codon, and T loops). Further hydrogen bonds mediate the characteristic L-shaped molecular structure. tRNAs have two regions of fundamental functional importance: the anti-codon, which is responsible for specific mRNA codon recognition, and the 3' end, to which the tRNAs corresponding amino acid is attached (by aminoacyl-tRNA synthetases). tRNAs cope with the degeneracy of the genetic code in two manners: having more than one tRNA (with a specific anti-codon) for a particular amino acid; and 'wobble' base-pairing, i.e. permitting non-standard base-pairing at the 3rd anti-codon position. The record is from RNAcentral. Lineage: Bacteria; Pseudomonadati; Pseudomonadota; Betaproteobacteria; Neisseriales; Chromobacteriaceae.
UCAGUUGGUUAGAAUACCGGCCUGUCACGCCGGGGGUCGCGGGUUCGAGUCCCGUCCACUCCG